RNAcentral lists this long non-coding RNA (1283 nucleotides) under Scophthalmus maximus (turbot). RNAcentral describes it as "lncRNA (ENSSMAG00000032677.1)". The record is from RNAcentral. Lineage: Eukaryota; Metazoa; Chordata; Actinopteri; Pleuronectiformes; Scophthalmidae.
AGCCAUUAUGUCCAAAAGGAGAAGAAGAAUAAAGCCUGUAGAUGAUGCAAAGACAUAUAUUCUGUCUUGCACUGACAAGUCUGGAUUUAUGUCAAGACUUGUAGACAGUUGCAUAGAUGUCAGUAUGCCAGGAGAACGGGUCAGAAGAUGAGGUCAGCAUGACAUCACAAGUCCAAAACCAAAGUUUGUCUGCAAGAAAGAGAGGUAAGCAAGCUGCUGUGAAACACUGGACACCCGAGGAAAUUGAUGCAGUAGAGAAACAUCUAAAGAAGCUCAUUGUAAGACGAGAUGUUCCAGGUAAGGCGGACUGUGAGCGCUGCAUUUCUGCAGAACCGCAAGCACUGCAAAAAAGAGACUGGUAAUCAGUCAAAUAUUUCAUCAAGAAUAGAAUAACUUCCAUGAGAAGAAAACUACAAUGAAAACACACGUUUUCAGUUUGCAACACUUUUUUUUUCAAGGCGGAAAUGUGCUGUAGUUUGUUAGUAUUCUGUAUUCAUUGUUUUCCUCUAAUCAUUGUUGUCGUUUUGUGUAAAAUGUGGUCUGAUCACCGACUUUUUCACAAAAUAAAUACAUGGUACCUCAGGAUAACUUGUUGAAAGCAUUGUAUUUGUUGUUAGCCUAAUAGCAUAGCUGCCUCAAGUCUUAUUUUAAGUUUUUUUUGCAAGAUAAUGCACGGUGAAUCAGCAGUUUUAGGAGAAUAGAACUAGGCUAAUGUAUGCAAUAUGAAAAACUGUGCUUACAGUUAACUCCAGGGUGGAAUAAAAAGGAAAAAAACUGUUAACUCAAAAUUAGAUCUUGGGGCUGAUUAAUUUGAAAUGGUUGUGCUGGUACUGAAAAUCAUUAUUUGAUUACCAUGCUACUACCCUGUCUUCCUGUUGAUGGUCUUUUGUGAAGAUGAUAGCACAUACAGUAGUUAAUGAGCUUACAAGGCGAUGUGAAUUUGCAGGUGUAAAGGGAAAAGAGAUGGAAUGAAGGAAGAAGAUGAUUUAAUUUGAAAUAUAGAUCCUUGAUGCAGUCAGUGUCUAUGUGCAGUAGAAACCAUUAAUGGGCCCCAGAUAGUAACCGAACACCCCGCAAAGAUACAAAAACAAGGAAUGUGUGUGUGUGUGUGUGUGUGUGACACUGGACCUCACAAGUACUGUAUGUUAGAAACGGGCCCCACAAGUGACCAAAAAACGUACAUGGAGACAAAAGUUUAAAAAUUUUGUUAAAUUGAAGUGAUUUUUAUGAUUGGGAUUUUUUUUUUAAUCUUACCUGAUUUUUUACAGCAGUGUAGAACCACU